This 305-nucleotide ribosomal RNA is filed under the name uncultured bacterium. Its description in RNAcentral is "bacterial SSU rRNA". It matches the Rfam family "Bacterial small subunit ribosomal RNA", at positions 338 to 640 of the family's 1533-position model. The record is from RNAcentral.
CCUACGGGAGGCAGCAGUGAGGAAUAUUGGUCAAUGGGCUUACGCCUGAACCAGCCAAGUCGCGUGAGGGAAGACUGCCCUAUGGGUUGUAAACCUCUUUUGUCAGGGAGCAACGCCGGCUACGUGUAGCCGGACUGAGAGUACCUGAAGAAAAAGCAUCGGCUAACUCCGUGCCAGCAGCCGCGGUAAUACGGAGGAUGCGAGCGUUAUCCGGAUUUAUUGGGUUUAAAGGGUGCGCAGGCGGAAGAUCAAGUCAGCGGUAAAAUUGAGAGGCUCAACCUCUUCGAGCCGUUGAAACUGGUUUU